Molecule: ribosomal RNA, 253 nt
Filed under: uncultured bacterium
Lineage: Bacteria
Description: partial 16S ribosomal RNA
Rfam family: Bacterial small subunit ribosomal RNA
Source: RNAcentral
GACGUAGGGCGCGAGCGUUGUCCGGAAUUAUUGGGCGUAAAGCGCGUGUAGGCGGUCCGGUAAGUCCGCUGUGAAAGUCGGGGGCUCAACCCUCGGAUGCCGGUGGAUACUGUCGGGCUUGAGUACGGAAGAGGCGAGUGGAAUUCCUGGUGUAGCGGUGAAAUGCGCAGAUAUCAGGAGGAACACCAAUUGCGAAGGCAGCUCGCUGGGACGUUACUGACGCUGAGACGCGAAAGCGUGGGGAGCAAACAGG